This 74-nucleotide transfer RNA is filed under the name Mus musculus (house mouse). Its description in RNAcentral is "partial miscellaneous RNA". It matches the Rfam family "tRNA". From Rfam's summary of the family: Transfer RNA (tRNA) molecules are approximately 80 nucleotides in length. Their secondary structure includes four short double-helical elements and three loops (D, anti-codon, and T loops). Further hydrogen bonds mediate the characteristic L-shaped molecular structure. tRNAs have two regions of fundamental functional importance: the anti-codon, which is responsible for specific mRNA codon recognition, and the 3' end, to which the tRNAs corresponding amino acid is attached (by aminoacyl-tRNA synthetases). tRNAs cope with the degeneracy of the genetic code in two manners: having more than one tRNA (with a specific anti-codon) for a particular amino acid; and 'wobble' base-pairing, i.e. permitting non-standard base-pairing at the 3rd anti-codon position. The record is from RNAcentral. Lineage: Eukaryota; Metazoa; Chordata; Mammalia; Rodentia; Muridae.
GGGGUUGGGGAUUUAGCUCAGUGGUAGAGCGCUUGCCUAGCAAGCAAGGCCCUGGGUUCGGUCCUAAGCUCUGG